Phascolarctos cinereus (koala) is the source of this 950-nucleotide long non-coding RNA. RefSeq lists it as uncharacterized. NCBI's taxonomy places the organism in Eukaryota, Metazoa, Chordata, Mammalia, Diprotodontia, Phascolarctidae. The record is from RefSeq and is a predicted model, not a curated record.
UGGAGAUGGAGGAGAUGGAGGAAGUGAACGUGUCAUUGGGGGCCCUGCCCUCUCCCCCCCAACCCCCCACCAGUCAGACAGUAUGCUGAUCAAGUGGUACCAGUGGAAGAUCUUGCUACUCUCAGAAAAGGGAGGAGGAAGGAAGACUGGACCUGAGAGGAUGGUGGAGGAACCUAAGUAAUGAGUCAACCGGUAACUAGAAUUUUCACUCCAGAAUGGCUGAACAAAUGAUGGUAUAAUUAUUGCAAUCGUAAGUAAUGACAGAAGACAUGAAUUCAGGGAGAAGACCUGAGAAGACUCGUCUGAACUUACUUGAAGCCAAGUGAGCAGAAUUAGGAAAACAAUUUAUACCAUAACAACAUAAACAACUAACUAAAUAAAUAACAAACCUUUGAAAGACUUAUUAAAUCUGGUCAAUGUAGUAACUUACUAGAAUUCCAGAGGGGCAGUGAUGAAGUGUGCUGACUGCCUCCUGGUGCAGAGGUCAUCGACUCAAGAUAUAGAAUGAGACCUAGAGUUUUGGACACCACCAGUGUGAGCCUUUGCUUUGCUUGCUUAUGCCUAUCGGUUACAAGGGUGUUGUUUUUGUUUUCGUUGGGGAGAGGGAUUUGGUGGGAGAGUAUGGUGAAUGGUAAUGCUGCCAGAAAAAAAGAAAAGAGAUAAAAGAAGAUAUUGAAGCAUUUUGGAAAAUUGCACAGAAGGAAGUUCAGAAGGUGACACAGAUAAGCAGGUCAGCUUGAAAAUAACAUGUUGAAUUUAUUAUAUAGAAAUUUGCAGUUUUGCAUAUUAUCUUCUUUUUCUGUUCUACUUUUUAAAAAUGUAAAAUUUAUUUUAAAAAAACCCCUCAAGAAUCCCCCUCCUAGUUGUAGCUGUGAAAGGUGCCUGAUGCCAUUUUCUUCUAUGUUUUUUUUUUUUUUAUUGUAUGGCCUUUCGUAUGCAGGUCAUGUAUC